GAUGAACGCUGGCGGCGUGCCUAAUACAUGCAAGUCGAGCGAACGGACGAGAAGCUUGCUUUUCUGAUGUUAGCGGCGGACGGGUGAGUAACACGUGGAUAACCUACCUAUAAGACUGGGAUAACUUCGGGAAACCGGAGCUAAUACCGGAUAAUAUUUUGAACCGCAUGGUUCAAAAGUGAAAGACGGUCUUGCUGUCACUUAUAGAUGGAUCCGCGCUGCAUUGGCUAGUUGGUAAGGUAACGGCUUACCAAGGCAACGAUGCAUAGCCGACCUGAGAGGGUGAUCGGCCACACUGGAACUGAGACACGGUCCAGACUCCUACGGGAGGCAGCAGUAGGGAAUCUUCCGCAAUGGGCGAAAGCCUGACGGAGCAACGCCGCGUGAGUGAUGAAGGUCUUCGGAUCGUAAAACUCUGUUAUUAGGGAAGAACAUAUGUGUAAGUAACUGUGCACAUCUUGACGGUACCUAAUCAGAAAGCCACGGCUAACUACG
This 495-nucleotide ribosomal RNA is filed under the name uncultured bacterium. RNAcentral's name for it is "partial 16S ribosomal RNA". It matches the Rfam family "Bacterial small subunit ribosomal RNA", at positions 28 to 505 of the family's 1533-position model. The record is from RNAcentral.